CUACGGGGGGCAGCAGUGGGGAAUAUUGCACAAUGGACGAAAGUCUGAUGCAGCAACGCCGCGUGGAGGAUGACACAUUUCGGUGCGUAAACUCCUUUUAUAUAGGAAGAUAAUGACGGUACUAUAUGAAUAAGCGCCGGCUAACUCCGUGCCAGCAGCCGCGGUGAAUACGGAGGGCGCAAGCGUUACUCGGAAUCACUGGGCGUAAAGAGCGUGUAGGCGGAUAGAUAAGUCAGGAGUGAAAUCCUAUGGCUCAACCAUAGAACUGCUCUUGAAACUGUCUAUCUAGAAUAUGGGAGAGGUAGAUGGAAUUUCUGGUGUAGGGGUAAAAUCCGUAGAGAUCAGAAGGAAUACCGAUUGCGAAGGCGAUCUACUGGAACAUUAUUGACGCUGAGACGCGAAAGCGUGGGGAGCAAACAGGAUUAGAUACCCCGGUAGUC
RNAcentral lists this ribosomal RNA (440 nucleotides) under uncultured bacterium. RNAcentral describes it as "partial 16S ribosomal RNA". It matches the Rfam family "Bacterial small subunit ribosomal RNA", at positions 339 to 795 of the family's 1533-position model. The record is from RNAcentral.